GAUGAACGCUGGCGGCGUGCCUAAUACAUGCAAGUCGAGCGAACAGACGAGGAGCUUGCUCCUCUGACGUUAGCGGCGGACGGGUGAGUAACACGUGGAUAACCUACCUAUAAGACUGGGAUAACUUCGGGAAACCGGAGCUAAUACCGGAUAAUAUAUUGAACCGCAUGGUUCAAUAGUGAAAGACGGUUUUGCUGUCACUUAUAGAUGGAUCCGCGCCGCAUUAGCUAGUUGGUAAGGUAACGGCUUACCAAGGCAACGAUGCGUAGCCGACCUGAGAGGGGGGUCGGCCACACUGGAACUGAGACACGGUCCAGACUCCUACGGGAGGCAGCAGUAGGGAAUCUUCCGCAAUGGGCUGAAGCCUGACGGAGCAACGCCGCGUGAGUGAUGAAGGUCUUCGGAUCGUAAAACUCUGUUAUUAGGGAAGAACAAAUGUGUAAGUAACUAUGCACGUCUUGACGGUACCUAAUCAGAAAGCCACGGCUAACUACGUG
Molecule: ribosomal RNA, 497 nt
Filed under: uncultured bacterium
Lineage: Bacteria
Description: partial 16S ribosomal RNA
Rfam family: Bacterial small subunit ribosomal RNA
Source: RNAcentral